Molecule: ribosomal RNA, 868 nt
Filed under: Burkholderia cenocepacia
Lineage: Bacteria; Pseudomonadati; Pseudomonadota; Betaproteobacteria; Burkholderiales; Burkholderiaceae
Description: bacterial LSU rRNA
Rfam family: Bacterial large subunit ribosomal RNA
Source: RNAcentral
CCCGCGGCUAGACGGAAAGACCCCAUGAACCUUUACUGUAGCUUUGCAUUGGACUUUGAACCGAUCUGUGUAGGAUAGGUGGGAGGCUAUGAAACCGGAACGCUAGUUUCGGUGGAGCCGUCCUUGAAAUACCACCCUGGUUUGUUUGAGGUUCUAACCUUGGCCCGUGAUCCGGGUCGGGGACAGUGCAUGGUAGGCAGUUUGACUGGGGCGGUCUCCUCCCAAAGCGUAACGGAGGAGUACGAAGGUACGCUAGGUACGGUCGGAAAUCGUGCUGAUAGUGCAAUGGCAUAAGCGUGCUUAACUGCGAGACCGACAAGUCGAGCAGGUGCGAAAGCAGGUCAUAGUGAUCCGGUGGUUCUGUAUGGAAGGGCCAUCGCUCAACGGAUAAAAGGUACUCUGGGGAUAACAGGCUGAUACCGCCCAAGAGUUCAUAUCGACGGCGGUGUUUGGCACCUCGAUGUCGGCUCAUCUCAUCCUGGGGCUGUAGCCGGUCCCAAGGGUAUGGCUGUUCGCCAUUUAAAGAGGUACGUGAGCUGGGUUUAAAACGUCGUGAGACAGUUUGGUCCCUAUCUGCCGUGGGCGUUGGAUAUUUGAAGGGGGCUGCUCCUAGUACGAGAGGACCGGAGUGGACGAACCUCUGGUGUACCGGUUGUCACGCCAGUGGCAUCGCCGGGUAGCUAUGUUCGGAAGAGAUAACCGCUGAAAGCAUCUAAGCGGGAAACUCGCCUUAAGAUGAGAUAUCCCUGGGGACUAGAUCCCCUUGAAGGGUCGUUCGAGACCAGGACGUUGAUAGGUCGGGUGUGUAAGCGCAGUAAUGCGUUCAGCUAACCGAUACUAAUUGCCCGUAAGGCUUGAUCCUAUAACA